Long non-coding RNA from Ricinus communis (castor bean), 640 nucleotides. RefSeq lists it as uncharacterized. Lineage: Eukaryota; Viridiplantae; Streptophyta; Magnoliopsida; Malpighiales; Euphorbiaceae. The record is from RefSeq and is a predicted model, not a curated record. The transcript is spliced from 2 exons.
UGGAAAUAUUAGUGGAUGGUGGAAAAGGCGGCAACAUAGAUUCAAUUGGUGGUGGAGCUACACUUGAUAGAGGACUACCCGCCGGUGCCGGAACUGGUACUGGUGACGCUAAAGGUGGCAGAUAUAAUGGAGAGGAAGCAACAUACAAGUUUUAAGAACUUUGAAUUCUUACCGUUGAAAUGGAAGAUGCUGCUUAUAGUGACAAUGAUGCUCAAUUUUCUAAGGUAAGACUUGGGAUCCAUGAGAUGAUGAAAUGCAAUUGCUGCAGCUAUAAGAUCUCAAGGACCAGAAAAAACACUCAAAUACAAUUAUGGGUUUUCUGCUAUAAGCAUCAGCAAACACAAUAUGAUAUAUAUAUAUAUAUAUUUAUAUGCAUGUAUAUAUAGAGAGAGGGGAAGCUGCCAGUAAGCUUUUAUAGUGAAGAAAAGAGAAUGAAGCAAAAGUUAUUGUUCACUUUAUAAGGUGAAGAAGUGAAGAAUGUCUAAGUAAACAGUGUAGAAAACAUAUGUAAAGUUUUGCAAAAGAAAGGCUUAUUAGAAGCUUGUUGAAGGGUAUUUUUAUCCUUUCUCCUGUUAUCUUGUUAGGAAUAAAUGCUUGCUUGGUUGCAGAGUAAUAUUAAAGAAACACUAGCUUUAUAUGA